CUUAUUCGAACGCAGCUUUGAUUUGACAAGCUUGUUUGCUGCUUGGCUUGUUUGUUUGUUUAAACUCCACAAGAAAUUGGAAAUGUUUUAUAAUUUUAAAAGUUGUUGACAACGCGCAAUAAUUUAAUAAUAUUAAAAUGGGUUGUACUCAAAGUGAAAUAUCACCUCAAAAUGAAACACCAAGAAAAGGUUGUACCGAUGUGUUGUGGCUGAUUAUUUAUAUCUUAUUUUGGAUAUUAAUGAUAAUCGUAGCUGCGAUAUCUUUCGUGUACGGAAAUCCUUUACGAGUAAUUAAUGGAUUUGAUUCGUUUGGGAAUACAUGUGGAGUGAAAAGCAACUACAAGCUAACAGCAGCACCUGUGUCUGGAAUAAGUACCAUUGACAAAAAGUAUCUAUUUUUCAUGGAUGUAAAAGAGCUUCAAAGGUCCCUCAAAAUAUGUGUGAAAGAAUGUCCUAAUAAGAAAUUGGAGUCAAUGGCUGAUAUACAGAAUUUCUAUAAGGAGACUGGAUCAAACCUUUGCCGUUAUGAUAUUAAUUUGAACUCAUUGGCUAGUAAUAGGGAUGUAUCUAACAACUACAUAGGGCCAUGUCCAACUCUGCCAGUGUAUGAGACAUUCCCACUACUAAAUAGAUGCUUCCCAAAGUCAGCAAAGGAACUUACUAAGAAAGUAUUCAAUGACUUUUAUGAUCUACUGAACAGUUGGGACACUAUUGAGCAGAUGCUCUCAGAUCUUUACUCAUCAUGGAAGGAGAUGAUUAUUUGUGUCAUUAUUGCAUUUAUAUGUUCUCUAAUUAUGGUCUCAAUAUUGCAUUUAUUGGCAACUCUGGUGUCGUGGAUAUUCAUGAUAUUGGUGUCGAUAGCCAGUGUGGCAGGAACAGCACUAUUAUGGUACACAUACUAUGAACUGAAGAAUAAACACAAGACCUUUGAAACUGCAUAUUUGGCUGAAUCCCUAAAGAAUGAGAGCGCGUUUUUGUGGUAUUCAAUUAUAGCCACUAUAAUAACGGUGAUUUUGCUCCUGCUUGUGUUUGUGAUGCGCUCCCGCGUGUCUUUCUUGGCAGCCCUAUUCAGGGAGACGGCUCACUGCCUCGGAUCCAUUCCCGCCCUUUUCCUACAACCUAUCAUCACAUUCUUCAUCCUUGUGCUAUUUUUAGCAUUUUGGUCCAUUGUAGUGGUCUGUCUAGCCACAGCAAAUUAUCCCGGAAUACCACUGCAGACAAAUUUCCUAAUCAAUGGAUCUACUACGACGGAGUUCGAUUCCCUUAAUAAACCGGCUAUUGAUACCCACAACGGCAAUUCUACUUUGAAAACUUUCGCGCUGGAGAAUAUUCAGUUCGAUCCAAUGUGGGUGAAGAGCAUGUGGUGGAUAUGUUUGAUCUGCCUCGUGUGGGGCAGUGAGUUCAUCCUCGGCUGCCAACAGAUGACCAUCGCUGGAGCCGUGUCUCAUUGGUAUUUUAGAGGACCAAACGCAAACUCACCGGUUUUAUAUUCCAUCGGCAAACUUAUCAAGUACCAUCUGGGUUCUGUCGCCAAGGGAUCCUUCCUGAUUACACUGUUCAAGAUACCUCGCCUCAUUUUGACUUAUUUGCAUGCCAAGUUGUCAGCUAGAGCAGAAAAGGGCUCGGAAUGCGCAAAAUGUGGUCUCAAGUGCGGUAUCUGCUGCUUCUAUUGUCUUGAAAAGUUCAUUCGGUACCUGAAUCACAACGCCUACACUAUCAUUACCAUUGAGAGAUGCCACUUCUGUAAGGCGGCUGGAAAGGCAUUCAGCACAAUAGUGAACAACGCACUCCAGGUGGCGACUAUAAACAGUGUGGGCGACUUCAUCCUGUUCCUUGGCAAGUGCAUAGUGACUGCUGUCACCGGCAUCAUUGGUCUACUGCUCCUCAAACGAAACUCUGACCUCCACUUCUUUGCUGUUCCCACAUUAGUCAUCUGUAUCUACUCGUUCUUCAUUGCACACUGUAUACUUUCUCUUUACGAGAUGGUAGUUGAUUCACUGUUCCUAUGCGUGUGUGAAGAUCGCAAUAUGAAUGGCAACGACGGCAGAUGGAAGAACUCUCGUUUGGCGGAACUUGGCGGGCAUAAGGGAGAUAAAUACGACGAACAAGAUGGCGCCGAGCUGCAGGACGUGCCAGACAAGUAUUAGCUCGAAGCCUGUUGUCCUUGGGGCUUUGCAUGUCCUAUCAGUGCCUUAUUGUGGAUGCUGGCUGCAGAUUAUGUAAUUUUGGCAGUUGAAUUAGAAAUAAGAAGAAUCUUUUACGCUUUUACUCAGACUCAGUAUUUGCAUUUUUUUAUUUAUUAUUAAUAAUAAUUAAUAUUUUAUAAGCACAUUGACACCGUGAUUUGACGGCACAUUAUUUGUGUGAAUCACUUUUUGUGACUUUUAAUAACUUUCAUAAUAAUGUUGGUGCAAUGCUAGUAGGUAUAAGCUAUUUUGGCAUAAUAUUUUUCUAAUACUAUAGAUUAUAGAUACUUACUAAUAUAUAAAAUAUCUGUUUUAUGAAUGUUUACAUGAAUUUUAGAAAAGUUUAUAAAGUGCUCUAGAUAUUAUUUUUGUGUACCUAAUGUUGCGAACUACGUAUUUCUUGAUAUUUUAUUAUUAUUAUAUGAGUGCAUAAUAAAUAAUUAAUUGUAGUCCGAAUAAGCAUAAUAUGUUAUACGCAGAUUUUAUUCUAGAUAGUAUGAAUGUUGAAUAAAUCGAUAUUUUUUUCGUAAAUGUAAGAAUAUCAAAGUACACAGUACUUACACUGUUGAGUGUAAAUUUUAGCACAAAUGAAUUGGAUAGCACAAAGUACCUAAAUAAGAGUUUCACUUAAAGUUAUAUGUUUAUUUGACAUUGCAUCAUGCAUUCCAGUGCUUAGAUCUUACUGUAUGCUUUUGCAGUUUGUUUUUUAUUUAAUGACUUUGACUAUUGUCUUCAAAUCAAUUAAUUUAUUGCUUUUUUACAUAAAUGUUUUGCUACUAAGGCUAAUAUAAAGUACAAUUUUUGAUAUUAUAUUUUUCUAGUACCUACUAAGUAAUAAUGUUACGUUUUUAACAAUACUUUAUAAUAAUUAAUCAAAUACACAUUAUUGAAUACUUUAAUCAUGUUGUGACGCAUAAUUACGUUAAAUGCAUAGUUUUAUUAAAUCCAGAUUAUACAGAUUUUUUUAAAUAGGGUGCUCAAUUUUUUAUCAAGUUUUAUGAUAGUGUUUUAGCAUAAUUUGAUUAGUUUCAUUUUUUUAAAUGAAUUUGACCGUCCAUAAUUUAAAAUAGGACUUAUCCAAUCAUCCAGCAUAAUAAUUUUACGUAAUAUGAGAUAAAAUAAUGUAUAUUUUGUGAAUCUCCCCAUGAUCUUUGUUUUAAGUACAUUAAAUGCUGUUUGCGUAACUAUAAUUAUGUAUUUAGAAAAUAGUUUGUUUUACAUAAGUACCUCAGUGUUAUCUCGAAUUUCAGAAGAUCUAAUCAAAUGACGAAAUCUAUACUUUUGAUUGUAUGCCAUAAAUGCUCUUCCGUAAUAGAAUGUAAGGAAUUUGGUUUUACCUAUCCAUAGAUAUAUACAAAAUAAAAAUCAUUGUGUGGAAAAUAAAGUUUUAUUAUUAUGAUUUA
Spodoptera frugiperda (fall armyworm) is the source of this 3589-nucleotide RNA transcript. It is a transcript of the gene named choline transporter-like 1, with no coding region annotated. Lineage: Eukaryota; Metazoa; Arthropoda; Insecta; Lepidoptera; Noctuidae. The record is from RefSeq and is a predicted model, not a curated record. The transcript has 12 exons.